Long non-coding RNA from Diospyros lotus (date-plum), 1100 nucleotides. RefSeq lists it as uncharacterized. Lineage: Eukaryota; Viridiplantae; Streptophyta; Magnoliopsida; Ericales; Ebenaceae. The transcript has 3 exons. The record is from RefSeq and is a predicted model, not a curated record.
AAGCAGGGAGUUGCAGAGGGCCGAGAGCUGGGAAGACAAGAUUGAGAGAGAGAGAGAGAUAGGAAGCUGGGAUCGAGGGAGAGAGGGCAAGGCCGAGAGUAAGAGAAUGAGAGUAGAGAAAGAGGGAGCAAGAUCGAGAGAGAGAGAGAGCUGGGUGUGGUGGCAGCCAUGGCCGCGGGCAGCAAGCGGCCAUGGCAGCGAGGCUGCUGUUGCAGCAGCCGGGAGCAGAGCGGAGCGAGCAGGGGCAGCCGGCGACGGUGGCGCGAAGGCCGGUUGCGGAGGCGACGCGAGUGGAGGCCGAAGGCAGCGGUGCGUGGCGGAGGAAGGCAGCAAGCGGCCACGCGCAUGGCAGCCGCGAGGUGGCAGCACAGGUCGCGCGUUUCAGGUGCUCGGGUGAAGAAGAAGAAGAAGAAGAAAGGAAAAAAGAAAAGAAAGAAAGAAGGAGAAGAAGAAAAGGAAGAAGCAGAGGAGUUGCAGGAGGCGGGACAAGAAGAAGAGAGGAAGGAGGAGGGAAGAAAAAAAAAAGAAAAAAAAAAAAGAAAAGAAAUGAAAUGAAAAAAAUAGAAAAAAAUUGGAGAAAAUUUUUGAAAAAACUUCAAGAAAUAGGAAAUUAUAUUUCGGAAAUAUUCCAGAGAUUUGGCAAGAAAAAAGGCCCGGGUACGCGUUUCGGGAAUAUGACACGCAUAUUGAGGAAGCUAGAGAUGCUAAGUUAAGGUUGGCACGCAAAUCAAGGUAGUCACGCACUUGAGGUUAAAAGCACGUUUCUCGAGAUUUAAGCAGAUUUCAAAGAUGGAAAUUGUAGCAGAAACGAAGAUGAACGAGGCAUGAAAUGGCACUUGGCAAAGUGCAUGAUGAAAUGAAUGUGAAUGAAAUGUAUGAUAUGUAGCCCAUAUAUUUAAAUUAUGCUACUUUGUUCUCUGAACGUUUUGAAAGUCCAUGAUGUAAGAUAUGAUUUAUGAUUGAAGUUUAAGGAAUGAUAAUGUAUAACCCUAUUUAGGGUUAAUGUUGAUUAAGAACUUAUGUUAUGUAUUAAGUUAUAUUGAGGAGUUAUGUCCCAUUGAUAAAUAGCUUUGUAUUAAGGAUUAAGUUCGAAAAGCAAU